RNA transcript from Phalaenopsis equestris, 2436 nucleotides. RefSeq lists it as uncharacterized. NCBI's taxonomy places the organism in Eukaryota, Viridiplantae, Streptophyta, Magnoliopsida, Asparagales, Orchidaceae. The transcript has 7 exons. The record is from RefSeq and is a predicted model, not a curated record.
CCCUAGUCCUGCUUCCUUCCCCAACCAAACAUGCUGCCUUGCAUAGUUCGUAAUCCGGCCACGACGCAAAUUGUAUUCUUUGCCAGCUUAGAAAGUAACCGCCGCCUUGAAUCAUCAAAAACCGUCCACGUAAUCCAACAAAAAAUGCAAUGUAUAGAGCUAAUGAUCCGACGGUCUUGACCAAAUCUUCAGAAAAAUCGUAAAUUCAUACUUGUACUCCUUCCUUUACAAAUUCCUCCUUAACCGAUCUCCUCAAUUUCAAUUGGAUUCACUUCCCCUAUUGUUGUUUUAUUUCUGGGCAUCGAGUUUUCAGAAAUUUUUAGUGAUUUGGGGAAGAAAGGGAAGGGAUUCUGCUCUGUCUGCUCGAUAUUUUUCGGAAUUUGUCUUAAAAAAGGGUUUUCCAUUCAGAUCUUGGUAUAAUUGGACUCAUGAUUUGCAAGAAAGAUACUGAGGUGGAGGUAUUGGAAAAAGGGGAAGCGCCUUUAGGAUCCUGGAGACCUGCCAGGAUUCUAUCAGGAAAUGGCCAUACCUAUGAGGUCAAAUAUGAUAGUUGUGUUCUGGAGGCAGAUGUGUUAAGGAACAAAGUUCCAAGGAAAGCGCUUAGGCCCCGGCCUCCUCCUGUUGAGGUAAAAGGCUGGGCUUGUUCUGAUUUAGUAGAGGUUUGUGAAGAUGGAUCAUGGAAGAUUGCAGAAGUGUUGAGGACACUUGAUUCGAAUAUGGUCGUUGCAAGGCUCCUGGGAUCUUCGAAGGAGAUUGUCAGUCCUCUUUUUCAGCUCAGGAUGCCACAGAUCUGGAAGGACAACCAUUGGAUUCCAUUACAGAAAGAAUCUGUGAAAUGCAAAGAUUUAGAUGUAAAAACCUUGUCAAAAAAGCGGAACUUGAGCUGUCAAAUACCCUGUCUAUCUGUAGUGGAGAAAAAAUGUAAGCGAGUUGAUCGACAUGCAGAAAAAUAUGAUCAUUCUGUGGAUCAAUGGUAUCAAAAGUCUCUUGGAAGUUUGAAGAAAAAGUCAUGGGAAUGUAGAUCUCCUGUUCAUCCGAAUUCUGGAGCUCUUGGAAAGAAGAAACAAAUCAAGAAGAAAGGAAGAUGCUUUGAACUUGUCGAAAAGAAUUUGACAAACCAGCUCUUUGAAAAGGUAGAUGCUGUUAAUUCACCACAACAAUUUUAUGGUGAAAAACAAAUGUAUUCUGCCUUUUGUCAUGAAACAGUUGGAUUUGAUCAAAUAGGCGUAUAUUGCAAAAGUCCAAUUGCUAAUGCUGGAACUAAUCUUAUAGUGAGUUUAGACCAUUUGGAUAAUGAGAGUACAACAUCCUCUGUUGGUAGUUGUAGUGUGUUUAAUGGUUCAUGUAGGCCACUUUAUCAUAAGGCCAAUCAGAGGCAAGAAGUAUGUGGUCAUAAUAAUGAUGCAGAAUCCUUUUGCGGCUCUUCAACCGAACCAUCUCAUUCUAGAGAAGACGACAAGGCAGAAGCAAUUCAUUGGCUAGAGUUGGAUGCAUACCGUUCCACAUUGAGGUUCAAAGAAUAUCAUCUUCAAGACUAUAGCGUUUGUUUUUUAAAGCAGUUAAAUUUAAAACGGAGCAGCUUGGCAAAGGAAUUGCAAAACUCUAUGUACUACAGUAUUUGUUCGCUCGAAGCUAACCACUAAACGCCGGAGUGGAUCACCUUUCAGACUUGUGGUGCGAUAGAGUGGUAUCAGAUGAUUUGAGCAAAAAAAAAUUUCUGCCUAUGCAACUUGGAUGAUCGCUCGGGAGUAAUAAUUAAUUCUUGAGAUGGUGCAACUUCAAUUUGAGGAUGUAGGUGUUAAGCCCUAAGAAGGUAAAAUGGAUAAAGAAGCCAUGACACCACCACGCCUGUUGUGAGGAUUGGUUUGAGAUGUUGGCUUGGCACUCCUGCGUCUUAGGUGGCAUGCCCGCAUUGCUCAACAGAGGAGGUGGCACCCUCGCGCUAAGUAGGCGUUAUGCUUAUGCCUUCCCACAGAGAAAGCGACAUGCCCGUUUUGGGUAGUGGCAAUGAGUACGCCUAGUUCCGCGAUUUACUGAAUUUGACUGGUUUUGAGGCAAUUUUUGAGGCCCGGAUUAUAUAAGCGCAUGCAUUGAAGCUCUAGAAACACUUCUGGCUCUACAAGUUCCUCUUUAAGCUUAGAAAAGCCUUCUUUUUUGUGUUCCCUAGAGUUUUCUUCUUAAAUUUUUUCAGGAGAGAAUUUCCUAGCGGUUUUUAUUUUAUUUUUUGUCUGUUUUGGUGAGUUGGAGAGGGUGAGAUAUUAGAGUGCUUGUAUGAGGGAGAUCAUGUGGAGUGCUUGUGUUUCAAGGAUAUAAUCGAGGAGUAAAUCAGGGCAUGGAUUAUCUGGUUUAAUUUCCUGUACUUAUUUUAUAUGUUGGCUUUCUUUAUUACAAAAAUACUUCAAACAAGACUUAGAUGUUUAGUAAAUUAGAACACUG